RNAcentral lists this ribosomal RNA (373 nucleotides) under uncultured Enterobacteriaceae bacterium. RNAcentral's name for it is "bacterial SSU rRNA". It matches the Rfam family "Bacterial small subunit ribosomal RNA", at positions 369 to 734 of the family's 1533-position model. Lineage: Bacteria; Pseudomonadati; Pseudomonadota; Gammaproteobacteria; Enterobacterales; Enterobacteriaceae. The record is from RNAcentral.
CAAUGGGCGCAAGCCUGAUGCAGCCAUGCCGCGUGUGUGAAGAAGGCCUUCGGGUUGUAAAGCACUUUCAGCGGGGAGGAAGGGGUUUGGGUUAAUACCUUGCGCCAUUGACGUUACCCGCAGAAUAAGCACCGGCUAACUCCGUGCCAGCAGCCGCGGUAAUACGGAGGGUGCAAGCGUUAAUCGGAAUUACUGGGCGUAAAGCGCGCGCAGGCGGUUUGUUAAGUCGGAUGUGAAAUCCCCGGGCUCAACCUGGGAACUGCAUUYGAAACUGGCAGGCUAGAGUCCGGUAGAGGGGGGUAGAAUUCCAGGUGUAGCGGUGAAAUGCGUAGAGAUCUGGAGGAACACCGGUGGCGAAGGCGGCCCCCUGGAC